AACGAACGCUGGCGGCAGGCUUAACACAUGCAAGUCGAGCGCACUCUUCGGAGUGAGCGGCGGACGGGUUAGUAACGCGUGGGAACGUGCCCUUCUCUAAGGAAUAGCCUCUGGAAACGGAGAGUAAUACCUUAUACGCCCUUUGGGGGAAAGAUUUAUCGGAGAAGGAUCGGCCCGCGUUAGAUUAGAUAGUUGGUGGGGUAAUGGCCUACCAAGUCUACGAUCUAUAGCUGGUUUGAGAGGAUGAUCAGCAACACUGGGACUGAGACACGGCCCAGACUUCUACGGAAGGCAGCAGUGGGGAAUCUUGGACAAUGGGCGCAAGCCUGAUCCAGCCAUGCCGCGUGAGUGAUGAAGGCCUUAGGGUCGUAAAGCUCUUUCACCAGGGAUGAUAAUGACAGUACCUGGAAAAGAAACCCCGGCUAACUCCGUGCCAGCAGCCGCGGUAAUACGGAGGGGGUUAGCGUUGUUCGGAAUUACUGGGCGUAAAGCGCACGUAGGCGGACUAAUCAGUCAGAGGUGAAAUCCCAGGGCUCAACCCUGGAACUGCCUUUGAUACUGUUAGUCUAGAGUUCGAGAGAGGUGAGUGGAAUUCCGAGUGUAGAGGUGAGAUUCGUAGAUAUUCGGAGGAACACCAGUGGCGAAGGCGGCUCACUGGCUCGAUACUGACGCUGAGGUGCGAAAGUGUGGGGAGCAAACAGGAUUAGAUACCCUGGUAGUCCACACCGUAAACGAUGAAUGCCAGUCGUCGGGUAGUAUACUAUUCGGUGACACACCUAACGGAUUAAGCAUUCCGCCUGGGGAGUACGGUCGCAAGAUUAAAACUCAAAGGAAUUGACGGGGGCCCGCACAAGCGGUGGAGCAUGCGGUUUAAUUCGAAGCAACGCGCAGAACCUUACCAACCCUUGACAUCCUGUGCUA
RNAcentral lists this ribosomal RNA (921 nucleotides) under uncultured bacterium. RNAcentral's name for it is "bacterial SSU rRNA". It matches the Rfam family "Bacterial small subunit ribosomal RNA", at positions 28 to 996 of the family's 1533-position model. The record is from RNAcentral.